GUAGGCGGGCAGAUAAAGUGUGGAGGAAAGGAUGACUUAGGGGAGAGGGGGAAGCCCUGGGAGAACAAAGCUCCGGGCCGUCGGCCUCCCAAGAGUCGCAGAAGUGACCGCCACGGGCUCGUGCACAGGCGGAAGCGGGGGGAGGGAGAGAGGCCGGGCCUAAAGCGCCCUCGCAGGUUUGGAAAACGCUGAGAGGGCACAGGGGGUGGGGAAAGUCGGAACCCGUAGCUAAAGGUUUGGCCCUUAGGCUAGUUUUUAAGGAAAUGGAUCUCAGGAAGGGGAGGAGGCACCACGCGCCCCGGAGAAGAGGGGGACGGAGCCGUCUGGCCGCCGCGGGCCUGUGCUUCCGCACCCCCCAGCUCUGCGCGUCGCCUGUCCCCGAGCGCCUCGCCUCCCAACUGUAAUCCCACACUCCCGCGAGCGCUGGGGCUGCGGAAUCGUUUGAGUUGGAACUGCAUCAGAUGAGAACGCCGGGAGGUGAGAUCGGACACGAAAAUUGGACACGUGGAGAAUUAGCCGGGCUGGAGAAGCGCUGGGUGCAGACUCAAACAAUGGUUUCCAGCAGCGGAGCGAAAGGAGGCACCUUCCCACCUCACCCCCAAAGGCAGCAGCCUCAGCGUAUGGUGGGAAACACCCUCAUCAUUGCCCACCCCUCCCUCAGAGCCUAGGAAAGGUCCAGCGUGGACCCCUUCCCAAGACACACGCCCCUGGGGUGCGCCUGGACCGGCAUGCUGGCUCUGAGAUCAUUGUGCCAGGGGUCUUUGGGGACUUAUAAAUUAUAAGGGAUUCUUUUCCCCUGGGAAGGUGUGGCAUCAAAG
Herpailurus yagouaroundi (jaguarundi) is the source of this 818-nucleotide long non-coding RNA. RefSeq lists it as uncharacterized. The record is from RefSeq and is a predicted model, not a curated record. NCBI's taxonomy places the organism in Eukaryota, Metazoa, Chordata, Mammalia, Carnivora, Felidae. The transcript has 3 exons.